RNAcentral lists this ribosomal RNA (362 nucleotides) under Polytomella parva. RNAcentral's name for it is "small subunit ribosomal RNA fragment number 3". It matches the Rfam family "Bacterial small subunit ribosomal RNA", at positions 490 to 980 of the family's 1533-position model. The record is from RNAcentral. RNAcentral also lists the same sequence under 4 other names. Lineage: Eukaryota; Viridiplantae; Chlorophyta; Chlorophyceae; Chlamydomonadales; Chlamydomonadaceae.
GUAUCGGCUAAUUGUGUGCCAGCAGCCGCGGGAAUACACAGGAUGCCAGUGAAAAGUUACAUCUUGGCUUCGUCGUUCUUACGUAAGUUUUGCCAAUUCAACAGUUAAACGUUAAAGUAGAGAUUAAAUUCUGUUAGAUUUCGUAGAGCGCCUGAAUAAGUUGAAUAAAGCGAAAUAAACUAAGGAACGAGAACUAGGGUCGCUAAUCGGAUUAGAUACCCGUGUAGUCCUAGUCGUUAAUCCUCAUGAAAGAGAGCCUAGUGAUAUUGUCUAUGACACUAAACUAGAGGUCCUGACAGCGUUGAGUUUUCGCGGUGGAGCUUGCCACUUAAUUUGUCACUACGCAGAAACCUUACCAUGAU